Molecule: transfer RNA, 90 nt
Filed under: bacterium
Lineage: Bacteria
Description: tRNA-Ser
Rfam family: tRNA
About the family: Transfer RNA (tRNA) molecules are approximately 80 nucleotides in length. Their secondary structure includes four short double-helical elements and three loops (D, anti-codon, and T loops).
Source: RNAcentral
GGAGGGGUCGCUUAGAGGCCGAGAGCGCGCGCUUGGAAAGCGCGUAGGCCCGCAAGGGUCUCGCGGGUUCGAAUCCCGCCCCCUCCGCCA